This 433-nucleotide ribosomal RNA is filed under the name uncultured bacterium. RNAcentral describes it as "partial 16S ribosomal RNA". It matches the Rfam family "Bacterial small subunit ribosomal RNA", at positions 29 to 507 of the family's 1533-position model. The record is from RNAcentral.
AACGAACGCUGGCGGCAUGCCUAACACAUGCAAGUCGAACGAGACCUUCGGGUCUAUUUGCGCACGGGUGCGUAACGCGUGGGAACCUUCCCUUAGGUUCGGAAUAACUCCCCGAAAGGGGUGCUAAUACCGGAUAAUGUCUUCGGACCAAAGAUUUAUCGCCUUUGGAUGGGCCCGCGUUGGAUUAGCUAGUUGGUAGGGUAAAAGCCUACCAAGGCGACGAUCCAUAGCUGGUCUGAGAGGAUGAUCAGCCACACUGGGACUGAGACACGGCCCAGACUCCUACGGGAGGAAGCAGUGGGGAAUAUUGGACAAUGGGCGAAAGACUGAUCCAGCCAUGCCGCGUGAGUGAUGAAGGCCUUAGGGUUGUAAAGCUCUUUUAACCGGGAUGAUAAUGACAGUACCGGGAGAAUAAGCGCCGGCUAACUCCGUG